This 560-nucleotide ribosomal RNA is filed under the name Trichoderma atroviride. RNAcentral's name for it is "eukaryotic LSU rRNA". The stretch from base 231 to 384 matches the Rfam family "5.8S ribosomal RNA". The record is from RNAcentral. Lineage: Eukaryota; Fungi; Ascomycota; Sordariomycetes; Hypocreales; Hypocreaceae.
CCGUUGGUGAACCAGCGGAGGGAUCAUUACCGAGUUUACAACUCCCAAACCCAAUGUGAACGUUACCAAACUGUUGCCUCGGCGGGAUCUCUGCCCCGGGUGCGUCGCAGCCCCGGACCAAGGCGCCCGCCGGAGGACCAACCAAAACUCUUUUUGUAUACCCCCUCGCGGGUUUUUUUAUAAUCUGAGCCUUCUCGGCGCCUCUCGUAGGCGUUUCGAAAAUGAAUCAAAACUUUCAACAACGGAUCUCUUGGUUCUGGCAUCGAUGAAGAACGCAGCGAAAUGCGAUAAGUAAUGUGAAUUGCAGAAUUCAGUGAAUCAUCGAAUCUUUGAACGCACAUUGCGCCCGCCAGUAUUCUGGCGGGCAUGCCUGUCCGAGCGUCAUUUCAACCCUCGAACCCCUCCGGGGGGUCGGCGUUGGGGAUCGGCCCUGCCUCUUGGCGGUGGCCGUCUCCGAAAUACAGUGGCGGUCUCGCCGCAGCCUCUCCUGCGCAGUAGUUUGCACACUCGCAUCGGGAGCGCGGCGCGUCCACAGCCGUUAAACACCCAACUUCUGAAAU